UACGUAGGGGGCAAGCGUUGUCCGGAAUUAUUGGGCGUAAAGCGCUCGUAGGCGGUCCAUCACGUCGGGAGUGAAAAGCUGGGGCUUAACCCCAGUCCUGCUUCCGAUACGGGCAGACUAGAGGUAUUCAGGGGAGAACGGAAUUCCUGGUGUAGCGGUGAAAUGCGCAGAUAUCAGGAGGAACACCGGUGGCGAAGGCGGCUAUCUGGACAGAAACUGACGCUGAGGCGCGAAAGCGAGGGGAGCAAACAGG
This 253-nucleotide ribosomal RNA is filed under the name uncultured bacterium. Its description in RNAcentral is "partial 16S ribosomal RNA". It matches the Rfam family "Bacterial small subunit ribosomal RNA", at positions 524 to 776 of the family's 1533-position model. The record is from RNAcentral.